Molecule: ribosomal RNA, 1487 nt
Filed under: Kosakonia sp.
Lineage: Bacteria; Pseudomonadati; Pseudomonadota; Gammaproteobacteria; Enterobacterales; Enterobacteriaceae
Description: bacterial SSU rRNA
Rfam family: Bacterial small subunit ribosomal RNA
Source: RNAcentral
UCCUGGCUCAGAUUGAACGCUGGCGGCAGGCCUAACACAUGCAAGUCGAACGGUAACAGGAAGCAGCUUGCUGCUUUGCUGACGAGUGGCGGACGGGUGAGUAAUGUCUGGGAAACUGCCCGAUGGAGGGGGAUAACUACUGGAAACGGUAGCUAAUACCGCAUAAUGUCGCAAGACCAAAGAGGGGGACCUUCGGGCCUCUUGCCAUCGGAUGUGCCCAGAUGGGAUUAGCUAGUAGGUGGGGUAACGGCUCACCUAGGCGACGAUCCCUAGCUGGUCUGAGAGGAUGACCAGCCACACUGGAACUGAGACACGGUCCAGACUCCUACGGGAGGCAGCAGUGGGGAAUAUUGCACAAUGGGCGCAAGCCUGAUGCAGCCAUGCCGCGUGUAUGAAGAAGGCCUUCGGGUUGUAAAGUACUUUCAGCGGGGAGGAAGGCAGUACGGUUAAUAACCGUGCUGAUUGACGUUACCCGCAGAAGAAGCACCGGCUAACUCCGUGCCAGCAGCCGCGGUAAUACGGAGGGUGCAAGCGUUAAUCGGAAUUACUGGGCGUAAAGCGCACGCAGGCGGUCUGUCAAGUCGGAUGUGAAAUCCCCGGGCUCAACCUGGGAACUGCAUUCGAAACUGGCAGGCUUGAGUCUUGUAGAGGGGGGUAGAAUUCCAGGUGUAGCGGUGAAAUGCGUAGAGAUCUGGAGGAAUACCGGUGGCGAAGGCGGCCCCCUGGACAAAGACUGACGCUCAGGUGCGAAAGCGUGGGGAGCAAACAGGAUUAGAUACCCUGGUAGUCCACGCCGUAAACGAUGUCGACUUGGAGGUUGUGCCCUUGAGGCGUGGCUUCCGGAGCUAACGCGUUAAGUCGACCGCCUGGGGAGUACGGCCGCAAGGUUAAAACUCAAAUGAAUUGACGGGGGCCCGCACAAGCGGUGGAGCAUGUGGUUUAAUUCGAUGCAACGCGAAGAACCUUACCUGGUCUUGACAUCCACGGAAUUUGGCAGAGAUGCCUUAGUGCCUUCGGGAACCGUGAGACAGGUGCUGCAUGGCUGUCGUCAGCUCGUGUUGUGAAAUGUUGGGUUAAGUCCCGCAACGAGCGCAACCCUUAUCCUUUGUUGCCAGCGGUCCGGCCGGGAACUCAAAGGAGACUGCCAGUGAUAAACUGGAGGAAGGUGGGGAUGACGUCAAGUCAUCAUGGCCCUUACGACCAGGGCUACACACGUGCUACAAUGGCGCAUACAAAGAGAAGCGACCUCGCGAGAGCAAGCGGACCUCAUAAAGUGCGUCGUAGUCCGGAUUGGAGUCUGCAACUCGACUCCAUGAAGUCGGAAUCGCUAGUAAUCGUGGAUCAGAAUGCCACGGUGAAUACGUUCCCGGGCCUUGUACACACCGCCCGUCACACCAUGGGAGUGGGUUGCAAAAGAAGUAGGUAGCUUAACCUUCGGGAGGGCGCUUACCACUUUGUGAUUCAUGACUGGGGUGAAGUCGUAACAA